AAAAACAUGUCUUUUUGUUUUUGAUUUAAGGUCUGACCUGCCCAAUGAUUAAUAUUUAAUGGCUGCAGUAUUUUGACUGUACAAAGGUAGCAUAAUCAUUAGUUUCUUAAUUGGAAGCUGGAAUGAAUGGUUUGAUGAAGAAUUUACUGUCUCAAUUUGAUUGCUUUAGAAUUUUAUUUUUAAGUGAAAAAGCUUAAAUUUUUUAAGAAGACGAGAAGACCCUAUAGAGUUUUACGUAUUUAGAGUUAUUUUUUUUUUGGUUUUAUUAUUUUUAAUUUUUUGUUACGUUUUGUUGGGGUGAUGCGAAAAUUUUUUUAACUUUUCUUAAUUUUUACACUAAUUAGUGAUUUAAUGAUCCUUUUGGACUAUAAGAUUAAAUUACCUUAGGGAUAACAGCGUAAUUUUUUUUGAAAGCUCUUAUUGAUAAAAAAGUUUGCGACCUCGAUGUUGGAUUAAAGUUUAUUUUUGGUGUAGAAGCUAGAUAAUUAAGUCUGUUCGACU
This 501-nucleotide ribosomal RNA is filed under the name Gnaptorina dongdashanensis. Its description in RNAcentral is "partial 16S ribosomal RNA". It matches the Rfam family "Archaeal large subunit ribosomal RNA", at positions 1901 to 2655 of the family's 2987-position model. The record is from RNAcentral. Lineage: Eukaryota; Metazoa; Arthropoda; Insecta; Coleoptera; Tenebrionidae.